RNAcentral lists this ribosomal RNA (484 nucleotides) under uncultured bacterium. Its description in RNAcentral is "partial 16S ribosomal RNA". It matches the Rfam family "Bacterial small subunit ribosomal RNA", at positions 30 to 507 of the family's 1533-position model. The record is from RNAcentral.
AUUGAACGCUAGCGGGAUGCUUUACACAUGCAAGUCGAACGGCAGCGCGGACUUCGGUCUGGCGGCGAGUGGCGAACGGGUGAGUAAUGUAUCGGAACGUGCCCAGUAGCGGGGGAUAACUACGCGAAAGCGUAGCUAAUCCCGCAUACGCCCUACGGGGGAAAGCAGGGGAUCGUAAGACCUUGCACUAUUGGAGCGGCCGAUAUCGGAUUAGCUAGUUGGUGAGGUAACGGCUCACCAAGGCGACGAUCCGUAGCUGGUUUGAGAGGACGACCAGCCACACUGGGACUGAGACACGGCCCAGACUCCUACGGGAGGCAGCAGUGGGGAAUUUUGGACAAUGGGGGCAACCCUGAUCCAGCCAUCCCGCGUGUGCGAUGAAGGCCUUCGGGUUGUAAAGCACUUUUGGCAGGAAAGAAACGUCGCGGGCUAAUACCCCGUGGAACUGACGGUACCUGCAGAAUAAGCACCGGCUAACUACGUG